CUUCCCUAUGUGCUCAUAGGAGGGGGUUUGGCACCAUAGGCGGGUCAGACGCCGCCUCCCAGAAUCCCAGAUGUGACCUUAGAGAUUAUCCACUGACGCCAGGGGAGAGGAAUGGCCAAGGUCAUCAGCUUCUUAGGCGCUGCAGCCAGGACCACAAACCAGUGACCCUCCUGUGCGGGCAGGGUGCCUCCUCUCACACCGCUCUGAAGAGGGGUGGGCUUAUUACAGGACAGGCUGCUACUGAACACUGUAACCGUGGCAAAACCUCACACACUUCUUGGGGAAAAGGACCCAGCACGUAUGUGGGAGCUGGACUUCAUGGCCGCAGAGUGUCUUCUGAUUCUGAAGGGAGGAAAAGGGAAGCUUCUCUGCUGGUGCCAAGUCACUUCAGCGACCCAAACUGGUGAGAGUUCGGAAGGCAAAACCCGCUUCUUCCUUCUUUCUCAGAGCAGUGUUCUGCAGUUAAGCGCAGGAAGGCUGCGGGGAGCCAAAGUGGGCCAGGAGGGCGUCGCCCAAUGCAGAUUCUCUUGCGAGCUGUUUUUGGGGUGCCCCAGGCCCUCUUGGCUUUAAUCCUGGGUCCGCUGUAAAGAAAUCUCUCACUAAAUCACGACGAAGGAUUUGGUUAGUAACAGGUGAUGCUCCCUUUGGAGGCCUCUACGAUCAUCUUGCUGGAUUUAAAAAUCUACACCUGCAUGUCUUAGCAUUGUUGGAGAUGAUCUUUAGAUCUGUCCUGCUUAACAGACAAACGAGAUAACGGUGAGACAGCGUGGUGCUGGACAGGACAUCAGUGGUCUGGGGGGGGACGAGGUCGGGGGUUUUGCUGAUGUUAAAAAUGACUGUUUGCUCAGGACCCUGUGUUCUUCACUCACACCUCGAGCUGAUCGGCCACAGGCGUCUUGCGAAGCUGGCUUUGCUUAGGAAGCCUUCUUCCCUCCAUUCAGCAAGCACUCAGUGCAGGUGCUGGGCUUGUGGGGCGGGGCAGCGGGGGGAGACCCCACAGUCCCUGCUGCCCAGGGAGGGGCAACUGUCCUGUGGUCACCGCCGGGCAGGCGGCGGGGCCCACAGAGGGUGCCGCUCUGAUGUGCGGCGCCAGAGCUGCCGCCACCCACCUCCUGGAUGCACUGGGCACCCGAGCAGAGCUGACACCAAAAGCGCCGAUUUACUGGGCCUGAAUGGUGCUCGGCCCUGGGCUGAGCGCUCACACACGCCUCCCAGUUUAUUCCCCACAGUUACCCAGUGAAGCAGCAGCUGUUACCUCCUCUGCUUUCCACGUGGGGAAACUGGGUGCAGGGGUGAAAGUUCUUUUUCUGGCCUGGCUAGUAUUUUCCCCGGUUUAAGUCUUCCUUUCUGAACGCAGUAGGACUGAAGUUAGCGUGAGGGCCUAGGGGUGGUGUCCUUGGUGUAUCCUGGGGGAGUUGACUCUCCCCCCCCGAAGAUGUCCUUUUACAGUGGUUCAGGUGGCCAGGGUGACGGACUUUCAGUGCUGAAAUUGGGACAGUCCCAGGCAAACCAGGACGGUCGGUUCCUCCAGGGAGCCUGGAGCUGUGGAUUUCUCCAGGUGGCCUCUGAGAUCCUUUCAGUAACGCCUGAAGGCCACCUCCAGCCUGGUGGCCCCGCUGUCUGUCCCUGGCCAGGGCCUUCUGAGGCUCCUCACAGCUCUUGCUUGUCAAGGUCAAUCAUUAAGCCCACUGAGCCUAAAGAAUGCGGCAUAAAAGCUAAGCCUGCUGACCCCAUUAGUCUAGGGAAGUGGACCAGAAGUUUAUUGGAUGUCUAAAUAUUUAUGGAGAGCAACGACUGCUAAUUUUAGAAACCAUUAGGUUGCUAUAUUUAAACUUGUGCUUGAAGGAUUUGCUAAUUUAAGAAGUGAGUGUUAAUGAGCCCCCAACUCCCAGACCCCAGCCCCCCACCCCUUUCCCCCUAGUUACCAGCAGCUGCUACUGGUGUUAGGUCAUAAUUCAACUUCCCAGCAACCACUUUUCACUUUGGGGCCAUUCGAUGCAAAAACAACCUCAAGCCAGCGAAUCUCCUUGGAAACCACAUAAAACUCAUCGCUGAUGCUUCGGAAGGAACUUGCCCAAGCAUGGCCUCCAGGAGGGGCAGCGUGUGGAGGGUCCAGCUGGCCUGCAGUUGGCUUCGUCCACGGGUUGCCCUUUUCCUGCAGACGUGCGUGUGCUCGUGGAAACAUUUGCUAGAGAGAUGUGCGUCCAAGACAAAUAUGGUUCUAAGAAUCAGGUUCCAAAAAGACCUCGACAGGCGGGGUGGGUGGGGCUGUGUGUAACAAGACGACGCAUUGCAGGAACAGACAUCGGGCCUAGCGUUUGGGUUCACAGAGCCCCCAAAGCACGCUCCUGGGUGGGCAGUAUGUGGCUGUCACACCUGUGAGCAGGAUUUAGGGCAGUCCUUCCCAGUGGCUGCUUCUCAGGAUGCCGUGCUGGCAGGAAGUCUCGUGGAAGACAGAAAUGCCAGCUAGGUUGGAGAAGAUCUGGUAACUAACUGUAGGACUUCUCAUCGCUGGUAAUAUGCAAACAUAACUGGGAAUCUCCCAGAAAAGUCUCGCGUGUGGCAUCUCCUAAGCUUAUUUGACUGGAGACAUCCUCCCCCGACUCUGCCAAAGGACAGCUUAAAGUCAAAUCACUUAGGCAAGUGGACUUAGAGGAUGGAAGUCUGUUGCAAGUUUAAUGGAGCAGUGAUGAGAUAGGGUUGAUUAAAAAAAAAAAAGAUAAUUUUGAUUUUGGGGAGGGUUGAAUGAGCACAAAUAGGACGGCCAGCAAGAUGCUCUGAUGUGCCCCCAGUAGAGUCUCAGCAAACCCCAGGGCUGUAAACUAAUGUGAAAAUCUGUGAAGGGCAGCUGUGAAAAGCACCAGGGCUGCUGUCGCCCCUUACACUGGAUCUGGUUUUAUGAGCACCAGAUCUGAAAGGCGAGGGUUUUUUUUUUUCCAUAUAAACUUUUAUGUUGUCUCCUUCCUCUGUUGUCCAUGAGCUACAUUUUUUUAAAGGAAGGAAUUCAAAACAAACAAAACAAAACAAAGAACACGAGGCAGGAACCCAGAGCACAUGGUGGAUUUUCUCCCAGCCUGCCUGGACCCCAGCUGUGUCAACUUUGGAGCUUUGCCUCUGAAUUAGGCAUCAUUUCAACAGCAGUGACCGGUGGGGAGUGCCUCACCGGGAUGAGGGACAGAUGGGCUGUUUGCCCGGCCCCUACUCCUACUUCUCUACUGCCCCGUGUCCCUCGGCCCCUACUAUGAAGAGCUCUGCUACGGACACGUGUGUCCUUUGUCUUUUCCACACGCACUGCUGAAGGGAAUGUCAGCCCCGGGGCAGGAGCAGGUUGUACCCUGAGAGACAGGGCCCCAGCCAGGUGUGUGGAAGGUUCUAUACCCACAACCACCUGGGCAGAAGAGUUGGAUGAUUUGGCCUCCCGAACCUCAUUUCAGCUUCUGACCAGCCUGCAGUCGGAGUGGAUUUAGAGCCGGUUGGGAAUGGGCCAUCCCAUGUAUGGCUGCCCCACGGCCUCCUGACACAUGUUGGAUCAACUGUGGAGACAGCUUGGACUUUGUUUCCUAGAGCUUUGUCGGAAAAAUGAAGAGCUGCCUUUUAAGGAAGGUGGUCAUUGGACUUUGAAAGAAUGCAGAGUUGCCUCAACUUUGAUGUUCAGCAGUUGAAGAAAAUGUCUGGUUCAAAAAAUUGUAAUGCUGAGAGGGAUAGAUUGGGAGUUUGGGAUUGACAUGUAUACACUGCUAUAUUUUAAAAAGAUGACCAACAAGGGUCUACUGUAUAGCACUGGGAACUCUGCUCAAUACUCUGUAAUAAUCUAAAUGGGAAAAGAAUUUGAAAAAGAAUAGAUACAUGUAUAUGUAUAACUGAAUCACUUUGCUGUACACCUGAAACUAACACAAUAUUAUUAAUCAACUAUACUCCAAUAUAAAAUAAAAAAUUUAACCAAAA
Long non-coding RNA from Balaenoptera ricei (Rice's whale), 3945 nucleotides. RefSeq lists it as uncharacterized. The transcript is spliced from 2 exons. Lineage: Eukaryota; Metazoa; Chordata; Mammalia; Artiodactyla; Balaenopteridae. The record is from RefSeq and is a predicted model, not a curated record.